UGUGCAUAUGUGUAUAGCUGGAUAUUGUAUGCGUGUACAGCUGUGCACAUAUUUCUAUGUAUGCAUGUGUAGUUAUGUGUCUGCAUGUGCAUGUGUGAAAUU
RNAcentral lists this microRNA precursor (102 nucleotides) under Ictidomys tridecemlineatus (thirteen-lined ground squirrel). RNAcentral describes it as "miRNA (ENSSTOG00000030639.1)". The record is from RNAcentral. Lineage: Eukaryota; Metazoa; Chordata; Mammalia; Rodentia; Sciuridae.